This 885-nucleotide unclassified non-coding RNA is filed under the name Hevea brasiliensis (rubber tree). The record is from RNAcentral. Lineage: Eukaryota; Viridiplantae; Streptophyta; Magnoliopsida; Malpighiales; Euphorbiaceae.
AAAAAAAAAAAAAAACCAAAACAAUAAUCUUUUAAGGAGUGAAGUUUGCAACUGUGAUUUGAUUUCAGAAUUAGUUGAUAAGAUAUAGUAGCAUAAAGAAAAACGUGUUCUCGUUCCCAAAUGUAAAUGAGCAUUUGCAUUUUUUCUGUAAAAGAGUAAAUGGAAUUUUCAGUCAAUUUAGUUCAUUAAGAUUGUUAGACAAGUUGUUGAAUAUUUCUAUGUUUCUUGUGCCAGUGUGGUAUGAUUUGAGGAAGGGUUAUAGAACUCGUAGGUAAUAAGCAAAUUGUUUUGUUUGCAAAAGUGAUGCCUAUUUGGAGGUGAAAAAACAGGAGUAUUUUUCACCUUUUUAAAAUGCCUAAACUUUUUGAAUUGUAAUGAGUCCAGAAGUUUGAGCAUACAGGAAAGGAGCAAUGUUAUAAUUUUCAAGAAAAGUUGGUUAUGGGUUUCUUUGUUGUUUAUUUGUGUAUACUUGCUAAUGAGCGACCUAGACAGCAUUGGACUUGUUAGCUAAGAUACUUUCUCUUUUGCCUUUUUGAGUCCCAGAUUUCCAACUCAUCAAUGAUAUUUGUAAUUCCGUAAUCUUUUUAACAUCAACUGUUUCGGUAGAUGUUUGUUACAAAAGCUACUAUUCCUUUAAGUAAAUUGAGCUAGAAUGUUUAGAUACAGGUUUGAUGAUUGUUGCAAGUUAUUUUGCGGUCGCCUGGACGAAACUCUUCACCGAAGCGGGAAAAAAUGAGGAGUCGCCACUCUAAUUUUAAGGAAAUUAAAGAAAAUCAUUUUGUGAAAAUAAAUUAAAAGGAAACCACUUCAAAAGAGAACAAAAAUUCUAGGUUCGGGGUCCGUAUACGGGUGGGGAAGGUGUUAGGCACCCCACCUCGUCCCUUA